GAUGAACGCUGGCGGCGUGCCUAAUACAUGCAAGUCGAGCGAACAGAUGAGGAGCUUGCUCCUCUGACGUUAGCGGCGGACGGGUGAGUAACACGUGUAUAACCUACCUAUAAGACUGGGAUAACUUCGGGAAACCGGAUCUAAUACCGGAUAAUAUAUUGAACCGCAUGGUUCAAUAGUGAAAGACGGUUUUGCUGUCACUUAUAGAUGGAUCCGCGCCGCAUUAGCUAGUUGGUAAGGUAACGGCUUACCAAGGCAACGAUGCGUAGCCGACCUGAGAGGGUGAUCGGCCACACUGGAACUGAGACACGGUCCAGACUCCUACGGGGGGCAGCAGUAGGGAAUCUUACGCAAUGGGCGAAAGCCUGACGGAGCAACGCCGCGUGAGUGAUGAAGGUCUUCGGAUCGUAAAACUCUGUUAUUAGGGAAGAACAAAUGUGUAAGUAACUAUGCACGUCUUGACGGUACCUAAUCAGAAAGCCACGGCUAACUACGUG
RNAcentral lists this ribosomal RNA (497 nucleotides) under uncultured bacterium. RNAcentral describes it as "partial 16S ribosomal RNA". It matches the Rfam family "Bacterial small subunit ribosomal RNA", at positions 28 to 507 of the family's 1533-position model. The record is from RNAcentral.